This 787-nucleotide unclassified non-coding RNA is filed under the name Leishmania donovani. RNAcentral describes it as "gene:LdHU3.33.1080(CDS-product:60S_ribosomal_prot ein_L6_putative)". Lineage: Eukaryota; Euglenozoa; Kinetoplastea; Trypanosomatida; Trypanosomatidae. The record is from RNAcentral.
UCUCGGUUCCACGCGAGUUGUUUCGAAUGGCCGCCACCAAAUCCGCUGCGUCUGCCGCGAAGAGGAAGGCGGCGAAGAAGGUGUCGCGCAAGAGCCCGGAGUACACGACUCUGCGCAAGAGCUGUGCUCCCGGCGUCAUCGCGAUCAUCCUCGCCGGCCGCUUCCGCGGUCGCCGCGCCGUGAUCCUGAAGCAGCUGCCACACAACGGCCCGCUGGUCGUGUCCGGCCCGAUGAAGUACAAUGGCGUCCCCAUCCGCCGCAUCGACUCCCGCUACGUGAUCGCCACCAGCACCAAGGUCGACAUCUCCAGCGUUGACACGGCGCCCAUCACCCCCGAGGUGUUCCAGCGCCCCAAGGCAGAGAAGCUGACCAAGAGCGAGGGCGACUUCAUGGGCGACAAACAGAAGGCUAGGGCGGAGAAGGCUGCCAAGAAGACCUCCAAGGCGGGAAAGAAGACCCCCGUGUCAGACGCGCGCGCCCAGCUGCAGAAGAAGAUCGACGCCGCCCUCAUCGCCGCCAUCAAGAAGGACGCUCAGGGCAAGGAGAAGGCCGGCUACCUGCGCUCCGUCUUCACGGUGAAGCCGGGCGAUGCGCCGCACCGCUGGAACUGGUAAGCACAGGACAACCGUAGGCGCUCUCGCACCACGUGCUGGUGUUGUAGCCUCGCUACCCCUACAGCCUCUCUGGUGAGGCGCGUGCCGACGUGUUUCGCGGUUCUCCCGCAGGCGUGUGCGUCUUUUCUAUUUUUGGUUUCUUCGCUUCCAUUUUUUAGUUUUUUUUUAUUCGC